GGAGAGGUGGAUGAGUGGUUUAAGUCGCACGCCUGGAAAGCGUGUAUAGGUUCAUAGCCUAUCGGGGGUUCGAAUCCCCCCUUCUCCGCCA
This 91-nucleotide transfer RNA is filed under the name Herbaspirillum sp. AP21. RNAcentral describes it as "tRNA-Ser". It matches the Rfam family "tRNA". Rfam says of the family: Transfer RNA (tRNA) molecules are approximately 80 nucleotides in length. Their secondary structure includes four short double-helical elements and three loops (D, anti-codon, and T loops). RNAcentral also lists the same sequence under 1 other name. Lineage: Bacteria; Pseudomonadati; Pseudomonadota; Betaproteobacteria; Burkholderiales; Oxalobacteraceae. The record is from RNAcentral.